AGAUGGCCGGAAAGAUGCCAACAAACCAGGAGAGAAACAGUCACCAGCCAGAUGCCUUUUCAACACGCCAAGGACGACGACAGAGUCUGCAGAGGUCACAUGCUUGCAGUUUGGAGUAUGACCCCAUAAAGGAGGCAGAGGAGUUUAUUAGACAGAAAAAAGAC
Saccostrea echinata is the source of this 164-nucleotide long non-coding RNA. RefSeq lists it as uncharacterized. The transcript has 3 exons. Lineage: Eukaryota; Metazoa; Mollusca; Bivalvia; Ostreida; Ostreidae. The record is from RefSeq and is a predicted model, not a curated record.